CUACAUAUGAGAGGUCCCGCCUGCCCUGUGACUAAUGUUUAACGGCCGCGGUAUCUUGACCGUGCAAAGGUAGCGCAAUCACUUGUCUUUUAAAUGAAGACCUGUAUGAAUGGCUAAACGAGGGCUUAACUGUCUCCUUCUCUAGGUCAAUGAAAUUGAUCUCCCCGUGCAGAAGCGGGGAUACCGACAUAAGACGAGAAGACCCUAUGGAGCUUUAGACACAAUGGCAGAUCAUGUUAAAAACCCUCUACCAAGAGAUAAAACCCAUUGAAACCUGCCCUGAUGUCUUUGGUUGGGGCGACCGCGGGGAACCACGAAACCCCCGAGUGGAGCAAGAGUACUACACUCUCAAACCCAAGAGCCACAGCUCUAAGCAACAGAAUUUCUGACCUUACAGAUCCGGCACAGCCGAUUAACGGACAGAGUUACCCUAGGGAUAACAGCGCAAUCCCCUUUUAGAGCCCAUAUCGACAAGGGGGUUUACGAMCUCGAUGUUGGAUCAGGACAUCCUAAUGGUGCAGCCGCUAUUAAGGUUCGUUUGKUCAACGAUUAAAGUCCUACGUGAUCUG
RNAcentral lists this ribosomal RNA (569 nucleotides) under Cyprinodon maya. RNAcentral describes it as "partial 16S ribosomal RNA". It matches the Rfam family "Bacterial large subunit ribosomal RNA", at positions 1839 to 2607 of the family's 2925-position model. The record is from RNAcentral. Lineage: Eukaryota; Metazoa; Chordata; Actinopteri; Cyprinodontiformes; Cyprinodontidae.